CCUACGGGUGGCUGCAGUGAGGAAUAUUGGUCAAUGGACGAGAGUCUGAACCAGCCAAGUAGCGUGAAGGAUGACUGUCCUAUGGGUUGUAAACUUCUUUUAUAUGGGAAUAAAACGUUCCACGUGUGGGAUUUUGUAUGUACCAUAUGAAUAAGGAUCGGCUAACUUCGUUCCAGCCGCCCCGGGAAUACGGUGGAUCCGAGCGUUAUCCGGAUUUGUUGGGUUUAAAGGGAGCGUAGGUGGGUUGUUAAGUCAGUUGUGAAAUUUUGCGGCUCAACCGUAGAAUUGCAGUUGAAACUGGCAGUCUUGAGUACAGUAGAGGUAGGCGGAAUUCGUGGUGUAGCGGUGAAAUGCUUAGAUAUCACGAAGAACUCCGAUUGCGAAGGCAGUUCACUGGACUGCAACUGACACUGAGGCUCGAAAGUGUGGGUAUCAAACAGGAUUAGAUACCCCUGUAGUC
Molecule: ribosomal RNA, 460 nt
Filed under: uncultured bacterium
Lineage: Bacteria
Description: partial 16S ribosomal RNA
Rfam family: Bacterial small subunit ribosomal RNA
Source: RNAcentral